UACAGAGGUCUCAAGCGUUGUUCGGAUUCAUUGGGCGUAAAGGGUGCGUAGGCGGCGCGGUAAGUCGGGUGUGAAAUCUCGGAGCUUAACUCCGAAACUGCAUUCGAUACUGCCGUGCUUGAGGACUGGAGAGGAGACUGGAAUUUACGGUGUAGCGGUGAAAUGCGUAGAUAUCCUAAGGAAGACCAGUGGCGAAGGCGGGUCUCUGGACAGUUCCUGACGCUGAGGCACGAAGGUCAGGGGAGCAAACGGG
RNAcentral lists this ribosomal RNA (253 nucleotides) under uncultured bacterium. Its description in RNAcentral is "partial 16S ribosomal RNA". It matches the Rfam family "Bacterial small subunit ribosomal RNA", at positions 524 to 776 of the family's 1533-position model. The record is from RNAcentral.